UCAUUUCUUAGCUCAUAUCCUGUCUUAUACAGUAUCAUUCCUAUAAAACAUUACUUUUAAGGUAAUUUCCAAACUGUAUUUCAAUCUUACACAAACAUUUUUCAUUUACCGAAUAACUCAAUAUUUACACAACUCUAAUUUACACAAAUCAAAAAUUGUCAUUUCGAUAUAAUAUAGUUCAUACUUAAAGGAAAUAACUUUCCUGUAUGCAGGCCUAUAUUCUUUAUCAUCCGGAUAGCAAGAUAAUGUGUUGCAUAUCAUACCUGCAAAAAUUAUAUUUUUGCAAGACUGAGCUCGACAGCCCAGAAAAUCUAACAGUUUUCAUGCUUUAUAUAACACGUAGUUUCAUGCUCAACAUACAACUCAUAAUCCUUUAUACCAUUCAUGCAUUAUCACUUUAAACAAUAUAUGUUCAAAGCAUAUAUCACAUAUAUAUUGAGUUCCAUAACUCAAUCAGCUUAGUCAUAUAUUGACUUUCACAACUUAUAGCAUGUAACAUGUAAUUCAACAUAUUCUUAAAGAUCUCAUACAAUAACCAAUUCAUAGAAUCACAAAGAAAUUGGAAGACUUGCCUCAAGCGCCGCUUAACAUUAUAGCUAUCUGCCUUGCAGUGCUCCUAUACAAUUUAAGUGUCCACAUUUAUCAAACAACAGUCAUACAGUCCAUACAACUUAAUGAAAUAGCUUAGUUUUUAUAUCAACUUUAUCUCGUUCAUUGAUUUCAUUCAUUGAUUUCCUUAUUUUUCCGUAUAAACUGUGUAACGGUGCUAUCUAUAUUAACAAGAAACAGAAAGCAGGGGCAUCUCCCAACACUCAACCAUUACGAUCUGUACUAAUCAUGUCUUCUAUGAUUUCUUAUCACCAACCAACAAUUUAUCUUCAGUGACAUUCUAUCAUUGGAUCCCCUAAAUUGCCAAAUAAUCCAAUCAUCAUACUUUCUAGGAAGUUUCUUACUAAAACAUAUAUUGGCUUGUAAUAAUUCUAAAUAUCCUUUAAUAAUUCUAUCCAAUGUAUCUAUUCGUGAUGAAUAACCCCAUGAUCCCUUUCUUGACAUUUUUAGUAUAUUGUGGCUGCAAAAGCCAUUCUUCUUCCUCAUUUCCAAACUCCUUGCUUUGAAAUAUUUUAUUACAUAGUCAAUUUCUUUACUCCAAGGUUUUCCAUUAGUUUGAAACAUCUAUAGCAAUAUAUGGACAGGUAAUGCAUCUUAAUCCAAUAUUUGUUUCUUUUAAAAACAUUGAUCAGUAGACUUCAACUUCACUAAUGGGCUAUUGGACCAAACAAGAAGAGUUUCCAUUGAUUCCUUGCCAAAAACCCCCAUGGUUAUUAAGCUAUGCUUCUGAUAUGAAAGUGGUACAUGAACCACAUACCAUUCACAAGGAAGAUUUUGAUUUAACCAAUUAAUGGAAUCAACUUUUAGAAGUAAAACAGUAAAGGUUUAUCAUUAUUAUUAGCAUUGCAUGUGUCAAAUGUUUCUAUAUAUCUAGUGCCAAAUUGGUGUCAUCACAUUCAUCAAUUUUAUUUGAAAUAUCAACAUUCUUCUAAAUUACUUAGUAAUCUUUACAUCAUUCUAUGUUUAUAUUAUACAGUGUAACUAACAUACUUGAACUCGUUCUCGAUCGCUUCACUAAUGUUGACCAUAAUUUGAAAUUUCAAUACUUAACAUCCUCAUUAAAUUCUUUAUCAAUCACAUAGGAUUUAUCAAUCAAAUUCUAAGUUAGUUAUGCUUAAAGUUCAUUUUGUUAUUGAUUUUAACUAUUCUAAUGCUCAACAUCAAGAAUCAGAAUUGAAAACGAAAAACAAAACCCAAAACAGGUAGCCAGCUACUGUUGCUAUUUGUUGCUGCUACGCUGCUAUUUGCUGCUGCCGCUAGGCAGCAGCCCGCCCCUCUUCAUGGCCUAUCCACUUUGCGAUUUUGUUGUUUUUAAUUUGUAAGUUAGUUUGCCCCCAAUUUUGGAUACGUUAUAGAAACCAUAGCAGGCUAUAUUAAAAAAAUACAAACCACCUAUUUUGGAUAUCUUAGGCAAUCCAAAACAGGCCCCAAAAAUGUCCGGUUGCAACUGUUUUUAAUUUUUUUUCUUGCUUUACUCUCUCUCUCGCUAAAAUAGUCUUAACUUUUUCGUUUUAAAACAUUUUUGAACGAUUCUUGCGCCCACAUGAAGCUAACUUCUGGGACUACAACUUUUUUUCCUGGACCAUCUUCAAAUUCCAAACACAAAAUUCUAGAAAAUUCGUGGAAGGGGACUGACCUGAAUCUGUUCUUCAGUUUUGGAUAGAUUCAACACGCCUCCUUUGAAAUUUCACAACUUUAUGAUUGGAGGUCGGAAUUAGUCCGUUCCGGAGUAUAUUUUUCACUUAAACUCAAAUGUUAGAAAUUCUUUAAAACUUGUUUUGAACUUAAUUUGAUUCACUAAAUCAACUUAGUUUACAUUAUAAUAGAAUAUAAAAAUGUAACCUAGCCCCAAGCUUUGCUUUAUUCUCCAUUUCAAGGCAUUAAACCUUUUUGAGGUGAACUUUCAAACACCUUGAAGGCGUAGCUUAAAGUUUCAGAUUUCAUAGGAGUUUGGACAUGUUCUAGCCCAAUUUUUUCCAGCCUUAUUACUCCGCACAACAUAUUCAACCUCCCAUCUCAUCAAUUCCACAACCAAAACAGAGCAACAUAUCAACAAUUAUACAUACUAUUUACUCACUUUUUAUGAAAAUAACCAAAACAUAAGGCUUACCUUUGUUUGGUGUAAUAACUGAAUAAUAUAACUUUUCUAUCAUUUACAUCUGCUCGUUUUGUUGUCCUGCAUUAAUAUUAUAUAUAUUUAUCAAAAGAAUUAAUAUUGAAACUAGCAUAUCUGGAAUUAGAGCAUCGGGUAAAUAACUGACUUUUUUUUUAAUAAAAUAAUAACUUCAAGAUUACCAAAAAAACCAAGUUAUGGAGUAUGAACCAUUUAUACAAAGACAUAUUCUAAUUCAUGCAAGUUUUUCUCCAGCAACUCUGAAAUCGGUCUUAUGUGUUAGGCGACAUUAUGCUCAUUGAGUAAAAUAUACUUGUGGUAUAAAUAUG
RNAcentral lists this long non-coding RNA (3051 nucleotides) under Panax ginseng (ginseng). RNAcentral describes it as "long non-coding RNA (PGIN_LNC009709)". Lineage: Eukaryota; Viridiplantae; Streptophyta; Magnoliopsida; Apiales; Araliaceae. The record is from RNAcentral.